GGGCGAUUAGCUCAGCUGGUUAGAGCGCUACGUUGACAUCGUAGAGGUCAGUGGUUCGACUCCGCUAUCGCCCA
RNAcentral lists this transfer RNA (74 nucleotides) under Fidelibacterota bacterium. Its description in RNAcentral is "tRNA-Val". It matches the Rfam family "tRNA". Rfam says of the family: Transfer RNA (tRNA) molecules are approximately 80 nucleotides in length. Their secondary structure includes four short double-helical elements and three loops (D, anti-codon, and T loops). Further hydrogen bonds mediate the characteristic L-shaped molecular structure. tRNAs have two regions of fundamental functional importance: the anti-codon, which is responsible for specific mRNA codon recognition, and the 3' end, to which the tRNAs corresponding amino acid is attached (by aminoacyl-tRNA synthetases). tRNAs cope with the degeneracy of the genetic code in two manners: having more than one tRNA (with a specific anti-codon) for a particular amino acid; and 'wobble' base-pairing, i.e. permitting non-standard base-pairing at the 3rd anti-codon position. Lineage: Bacteria; Pseudomonadati; Fidelibacterota. The record is from RNAcentral.